Molecule: long non-coding RNA, 2610 nt
Filed under: Triticum aestivum (bread wheat)
Lineage: Eukaryota; Viridiplantae; Streptophyta; Magnoliopsida; Poales; Poaceae
Description: long non-coding RNA (TAES_LNC019648)
Source: RNAcentral
UGUCUAUAUGCAUAACCUAUGUGUAGCUUUCUUGAUAAACGUAGUAUAAAUAAGCUAUCGUAAUCUAAUCCCAUGCCUUUCUCAUAAUGCUAUAUAUCAAUUUCAUACGAAAAUAUCUAUUCUCUUAUGAUCCAAUCGGCAUCUAAAUAUUCUUACGUGCGUGGUUUGAAUGCUUGGUUUGUACAAUAUUUGUCCCCUUAUUUCCCUGAUCUUUUUAGUUUUAGUUUCUGUUGCCGCAGACAAGCAAUUCAAAUGCAGAGCUACAUCAAAGAUCCGCGUCAAAUAAUUAGGCCAAUAUAAAUAACAAAAUUUGGGCGUAGUGUCGUAGUCGCCUCCAUCCUGUAGCAUCUUAGCUCUUUGUACAUUUUGAUUGUUCAUUUUACUGGCUCCUUCAUUUUCGUCUGCUAGCUCAAUGAUUUGUCAUUGUUAUAAUUGGUUCCUUUCUGUCACUGCUGGUCUUGAACACAUACUGGUGGCAUCCGAUGGGACAAAUUCGACUGGUCUCUAUCCGAGAGGAGAGAUCCGGGGGAAUGUGUGUUGAGGUAUGUUAACUCAUCAGAGGAAUGCCUCUUUAUUUUGGUUCCCCUUAUUUUAUUUGUUGCUGCUGGAGCUUCUUUGGUUGCCACUGAAACAUAUAUACUACUUUUGGAGGUAGAAAACGAUAUGGCGUUGUUUGUACUGAGGCCUGAGUCUGAUCAUUAGGCAUCAAUUUCUGGAUUACUUUUCAACAAAUUUGAUAAGUUGGUUGUUCUUUGGUAUCCAUUUUCACAACUGGUGAAUAAUGUUAGAUGUAUGUAAUACAGGCUCUCAUCAUGUUGGUACAUGGUGAAUGUUCCAUCAAGUUGUGGAUGGCUCUAAGGCAUGUGACACCAAUGAUAGAUACUCCUGCCGUGUCAUGAAGCUCAUUAAGUGCUACAAAAAUAUUUCACAGGGGUAAUUGUUUCUGUUCUUCACCAAUCUACCGUGUCAGAUGUUGUUUUAUUAUUGUUUGUUCUUCGUAGGCAUAGCCUAUUAAUUAUUCACUUGUCCGUAGGUAUGUAUCAUGGCUCUAAGUCACGCACAUGAGAUUUGAGACUUUUUUGGGGGCUAAUGAUAAAUAUUGUUGGUGAUAAGGAGUGUAUGCUUAUGUGCUGUACUUUUCAUUAUCCAAUAUAUGGAUAAUAUUUAUCAUUGUCAAAAGAGUGCACCUCGGGAUAAUGGUUAUGAAAUAUUUUUCCUAUAUUAUUAUGUACUUCAACCUUUUCAUAUUUCAAAGUGGUUGUGAGAAUGGCUAUGAAAUUGAAGAGGCGGCCAGAGGAGGUAGUGAGGGAGCUGCUCCUUCAUCCUCCCCUCCAUACUGUCGGUAAUACAUUAUUUUCUCUCAUAGAUUUAAAGUGAUUUUUUCUGUUGUUGCAAAGCAUGGGUAUUUAAAAAGCUGCAACCCAGUAACUUUGAUUUUCAUAGUCUACUCUGCCUUCUGCGUCUACCUUGUUGUAUAAGAGACCAGUCAGCACUAUGUAUACCAACAAUAACCACACACAUGAAUUCUGAUUUGUGCACAAGGAAGCUCACAAAUUUGUGUCCAUCUUUUUCGUAGUAAUCAUAUUGCUUGCAUAUUUUAUUAGACUGAUCAUAGUCACGAUGAUCAGACAGAUAAUAUUUGGUAGAGAAGAUUAGAAGAAACAUUUAUAUCAUAUUUUUGUAUGUUUUUUCUGUAGAAAAGGUACCAUGGGUUGAUUGUGUUGGAUCCCAUUACUAUAUGAUGUAUUUGACUGCUAUUCCUAAGAACUGCUCCUGGACACAGUGCUCUAUGUUGACAUGUCUUACAUUUUAUUGUGUCGCCUAUCUGUAUAGUUAUUCGGAUCUUACAUUUUUGUAUUUUUGUCGAUGCAGGUGUGUUCUUCCUACUAUAAAGCAACAUGGAUUUCUUUAAAUUAAAUUGUGCAUAUUAUGGAAAAUAAAUCUUGUGUGUCUAUAGUCAUGUUCAUGUAUGUUCUGAACUGAGACAAAUAUUCUUCAUUGUCUAUGCUUUUUCCUUCUGUUAAUGAUGAUAGUGCAGCUCUCCAUGUUAUUAAUUCCUUACCCAUUCACUUGAAAUAUUGCCUAAAUAUUAUUAUUUUUGUAGUUGGUUCAGCAGCCUGACUUAGAUCUUCUACAUUGCCCAUAGAGAAUCUUCAAAAGUGUAGUCAUAUAGAGAAUCUUCAAAAGUGUAGUCAUAUAUGUCACUUGAUAAAUUCCAGGACAUUAAUCUAUACUGCUCCUAUGCGUUUCAGCUGUCACAAAUCCAUGGUGAAAUAAACAGGAGAAUACAUGCUUGCAGAAGUUGUCAAGAGGCUCCAUUUAACCAUCAAAGACCAUGAGACCUACGAAUCCAGUGAUAGAGAUGGACACAAUCUCUCCUUGUGGAAGGACAAUGUAUCAAUUGCCAACAAAACCAAACAUUUCAUCCUAUCUUACCAUGUAGUACUAACUUAACUGCAAUGUAUCACCUGUGUCAAAAACUAUUUGAAUCGCGUAUUUGGCUAUCUAUGAUAUCAAACCUUUGUGUUCUUUCAAUAUCAUAUACACUCGAAAGCAAGGCCAUUAUAUGAUAAAAACCCAUGUGCACUCCUAAGUUUAUCAAAAUAAUUG